This 374-nucleotide ribosomal RNA is filed under the name uncultured eukaryote. RNAcentral's name for it is "partial 18S ribosomal RNA". It matches the Rfam family "Eukaryotic small subunit ribosomal RNA", at positions 592 to 976 of the family's 1831-position model. The record is from RNAcentral.
CAAGAGCGUAUGUAAAAGUUGUUGCAGUUAAAAAGCUCGUAGUUGAACCUUGGGUUUGGUUGGCCGGUCCGCUUUUUUGCGAGUACUGGAUUCAACCGAGCCUUUCCUUCUGGCUAACCAGUCGUUUCGGCGGCUGGCGAACCAGGAUUUUUACUUUGAGAAAAUUAGAGUGUUCAAAGCAGGCAUUAGCUUGAAUAUAUUAGCAUGGAAUAAUAGAAUAGGACGUUAUGGUUCUAUUUUGUUGGUUUCUAGGACCAUCGUAAUGAUUAAUAGGGACGGUCGGGGGCAUCAGUAUUCAGUUGUCAGAGGUGAAGUUCUUGGAUUUACUGAAGACUAACUACUGCGAAAGCAUUUGCCAAGGACGUUUUCAUUAA